This is a long non-coding RNA of Leopardus geoffroyi (Geoffroy's cat), 874 nucleotides long. RefSeq lists it as uncharacterized. The record is from RefSeq and is a predicted model, not a curated record. The transcript has 2 exons. Lineage: Eukaryota; Metazoa; Chordata; Mammalia; Carnivora; Felidae.
ACAUUGGGCACAGAGCCACUCAGUAAACGAAUGUUCACAGCUAUCAUCAUGAUCAGUGGUGUUAUUCCAGUGGCUCGACACUGAGGAAUCAGGAGUGCGGGGCUCUACUGUUUCACUUCCUGUACAGAUCUACAUUCCUACUUUUUUCGGUUCAACAGUAUCACACAAUUUACAAUCUAUUUACAGCCUGCACGGAGAAAAGAAAAAGAAAGGCAACGACCAAGAAAAGAAUUUCUGCAGCCCACUGUACCUUUUGAUAGUACUACAGGCAACCAGCAAAUUCAUAUCAGCUCUACAGUUGCCUAUUGUUAGCUUAGAAUCUUUAGUUUGCCAUUUUAGAAAGCAUCUACGUUGUAGCUGUGGAUUUUCUGACACAAAUGAUAUAAAAUGAGACAAAGGCAAACACCACUCACUUCCCACCCACACGAGAGAAUUUGUGUUGUGAAUUAUUUACUGUAUCUGAUUUUCUUUCACUGCAGAUAUUUUCAUAGCAGGUGUACGAGAUUUCAAAGGCUGAAUCAAAUCUCACUGUGUUUCACAGCUACUUCUACUUAUUAACUCAUACAUGUAUUCCUAAGCCUCGAGCAUAUUAUAGAAUUAUGGUUCACGCUUAUGCACACUUGUUGCCAAAUUAACUGGAAACCCAGACUUUGGGCCUGUUUUAUUACCCCAGACUCCUAGCUGGUCUCCGAGAUGGUAUUCCCUUUGCAAUUUAUCUUGCACGUGUUAUGGAUGACUUGCUGAUGCAGGUCAAUGGGUUUUAGAUACAGUAUAACAAAUCUUGAGACCAGAGUGUUGAAAGGAUUGCAUUUACUCUCAAUUACUGCACAUGAAAUCCUGUACAUUAUGAAAACGUUUUCAUUCUUUCCAGCAA